GUUCCAUAGAACUCUCCUGCAUCAUCAUAUAUAAAUUAAUUAUCACGCGCCUUGAGUUGAAGGGCACUCGGAAUGUGAAGCAAACCUCAGGUCAAAUGAAUGGACGAAUCCGGUUUCAUUGUGAACUCAAAAGGCAUAUAUGCAUCUCGAGUCCCAUGAAAAAUUAAGCACAUAAAUUUCUUUCCACCAGAAAACGAGGUGAACUGAUUUUGAAAUGCCAAAAGUAUCCAGUGAAGGUGAAAAGACAUGGCACAGUAAUGGGGACAUCUACUGUAGAGUCACAGAUUCGCAGUCCUUUGCUUCAUGUAAGCAUGCAUGUGAACUUGCUGAAACAUCAUCAUUAACAGCUUCGUCUUUUAUCUCACGCACAUAUAAAUGUUUUUUGUUACAUUUUACUGCACUAAAUGUCGACACAGACUGAUCGUGAUGAGAAUCCUAAUGAAAUCCAAAUAUAAAGCCAAUACGCAAUAACGACAAAAAUGAAAAUACAAGAAAGAAACAAAGAAAGAAAGGGAAAGAAAAAAGUAUAAGAGAGAAUAAAAAAGGACUCAACUAAUUUUUCUAAUGCACUUAAUUCAUGAGUAUUUUGAUGCUGCUGUGAGUUUUAUGCAGAAGAAGAGUCGCUCUGCACUCUUAAAGUUGUAGCAAGUAUAGAGGGAGCAAAAGAUGAGGAAGAACCUAACUAAGGUCUUCUCAGAACGAUCAACAAGCAAGAAGAAGAACAGCAGUAGAAUCACGGCUCCUGAGCUGCAGCCAACUA
Juglans microcarpa x Juglans regia is the source of this 760-nucleotide long non-coding RNA. RefSeq lists it as uncharacterized. NCBI's taxonomy places the organism in Eukaryota, Viridiplantae, Streptophyta, Magnoliopsida, Fagales, Juglandaceae. The transcript has 2 exons. The record is from RefSeq and is a predicted model, not a curated record.